RNAcentral lists this ribosomal RNA (274 nucleotides) under uncultured bacterium. RNAcentral's name for it is "partial 16S ribosomal RNA". It matches the Rfam family "Bacterial small subunit ribosomal RNA", at positions 523 to 796 of the family's 1533-position model. The record is from RNAcentral.
AUACGGAGGAUGCGAGCGUUGUUCGGAAUUAUUGGGCGUAAAGCGCAUGUAGGUGGGUUGAUAAGUUAAUGGUGAAAUUUCUAGGCUCAACCUGGAAACUGCCCUUAAUACUGUCAAUCUAGAGUUGUACAGAGGUAAUAGGAAUUCCUGGUGGAGGGGUGAAAUCUGUAGAUAUCAGGAAGAACACCAAUGGCGAAGGCAAAUUACUGGGUACAUACUGACACUGAGAUGCGAAAGCUAGGGUAGCGAACGGGAUUAGAAACCCCAGUAGUCC